This is a long non-coding RNA of Aquila chrysaetos chrysaetos, 236 nucleotides long. RefSeq lists it as uncharacterized. The record is from RefSeq and is a predicted model, not a curated record. The transcript has 3 exons. Lineage: Eukaryota; Metazoa; Chordata; Aves; Accipitriformes; Accipitridae.
GGUGGAGCACACAGCCUUGGAGGGGCGAAGUCGCAGGCUGAUGAGCAGUGUGAGAAGGGGCUGUGCGGGCCACCUUUGGAAUGGGAUGAGCAUUUGAGGUACCAUGAGAGAUGAUGGCUGCAGGGUCUGACUCUGGAAUGAGCAGGUAAGCAUAACACUGUGGUGUGAGUGAUUAAGUAGGGGGUUGGGAAAGUAGUUGGUGUUGGCUGAUGGGUUGCUUACUGCCUCUUCUGAUU